Molecule: ribosomal RNA, 472 nt
Filed under: uncultured bacterium
Lineage: Bacteria
Description: bacterial SSU rRNA
Rfam family: Bacterial small subunit ribosomal RNA
Source: RNAcentral
UCGGGAAUUUUGGGCAAUGGGGGAAACCCUGACCCAGCAACGCCGCGUGUGUGAAGAAGGCCUGCGGGUUGUAAAGCACUUUCGAUGGGAACGAAAUGUGCCGGGUUAAUACCCCGGUAAGCUGACGUUACUCAAUGAAGAAGCACCGGCUAACUCUGUGCCAGCAGCCGCGGUAAUACAGAGGGUGCGAGCGUUAAUCGGAAUUACUGGGCGUAAAGCGCACGUAGGUGGCGACGUAAGUCGGGUGUGAAAGCCCCGGGCUCAACCUGGGAAUUGCAUUCGAGACUGCAUUGCUGGAGUACGGAAGAGGAGGGCGGAAUUCCCGGUGUAGCGGUGAAAUGCGUAGAUAUCAGGAGGAACACCCGUGGCGAAGGCGGAUCUCUGGACCGGUUCUGACGCUGAGGAGCGAAAGCUAGGGGAGCAAACAGGAUUAGAUACCCAAGUAGUCCCUGAGCGGGCUGGCAAGGCGCAU